This 301-nucleotide ribosomal RNA is filed under the name uncultured bacterium. RNAcentral's name for it is "partial 16S ribosomal RNA". It matches the Rfam family "Bacterial small subunit ribosomal RNA", at positions 509 to 807 of the family's 1533-position model. The record is from RNAcentral.
CAGUAGCCACGGGAAUACGGAGGGGGCUAGCGUUGUUCGGAAUUACUGGGCGUAAAGCGCACGUAGGCGGCUUGGUAAGUUAGAGGUGAAAGCCCGGAGCUCAACUCCGGAAUUGCCUUUAAGACUGCCGAGCUAGCAGGUGAGAGAGGUAAGUGGAAUUCCGAGUGUAGAGGUGAAAUUCGUAGAUAUUCGGAAGAACACCAGUGGCGAAGGCGGCUUACUGGCUCAUACUGGACGCUGAGGUGCGAAAGCGUGGGGAGCAAACAGGAUUAGAUACCCCGGUAGUCCCUGUCUCUUAUAC